UCCCCCGCAGGAUCGUACCUGGAGAGUUUACAGUAUUCUACCAGUCUCGGCUACAGAAGUGAAAGUCAAGCAGUCAUACCCAUUCCAUUCUUAGCUUGGGCAGUGGCUAGUAAGUGGAAGGCAAUCUGCUACAAGU
Molecule: small nucleolar RNA, 136 nt
Organism: Tachyglossus aculeatus (Australian echidna)
Lineage: Eukaryota; Metazoa; Chordata; Mammalia; Monotremata; Tachyglossidae
Source: RefSeq, a predicted model, not a curated record